RNAcentral lists this ribosomal RNA (253 nucleotides) under uncultured prokaryote. RNAcentral describes it as "partial 16S ribosomal RNA". It matches the Rfam family "Bacterial small subunit ribosomal RNA", at positions 524 to 776 of the family's 1533-position model. The record is from RNAcentral.
UACGUAGGGUGCGAGCGUUAAUCGGAAUUACUGGGCGUAAAGCGUGCGCAGGCGGUUCGCCAAGUCAGGUGUGAAAUCCCCCGGCUUAACCAGGGAAGUGCGCGCGAAACUGGCGGGCUUGAGUGCCGGAGAGGGUCGCGGAAUUCCCGGUGUAGAGGUGAAAUUCGUAGAUAUCGGGAGGAACACCAGUGGCGAAGGCGGCGACCUGGACGGACACUGACGCUGAGCCGCGAAAGCGUGGGGAGCAAACAGG